This 70-nucleotide transfer RNA is filed under the name Lautropia sp. RNAcentral describes it as "tRNA-Ile". It matches the Rfam family "tRNA". From Rfam's summary of the family: Transfer RNA (tRNA) molecules are approximately 80 nucleotides in length. Their secondary structure includes four short double-helical elements and three loops (D, anti-codon, and T loops). Lineage: Bacteria; Pseudomonadati; Pseudomonadota; Betaproteobacteria; Burkholderiales; Burkholderiaceae. The record is from RNAcentral.
GGGUGGCUCCGCUCGGGUUGGAGCAACGUCCUGAUAAGGCGUCUGGCGGGUUCGAUUCCCGCCUUGGUCA